GAUAAACGCUGGCGGCGUGCAUAACACAUGCAAGUCGAACGAUGAAGAUUUAAAGAUUUCUUCGGAAUGAACUUAAUUGGAUUAGUGGCGGACGGGUGAGUAACGCGUGAGUAACCUGCCUUGUACAAGGGGAUAGCCGUUGGAAACGACGAAUAAUACCCUAUGACAUCAAAUAAUCGCAUGAUAAUUUGAUCAAAGAUUUAUCGGUAUAAGAUGGACUCGCGUCUGAUUAGCUAGUUGGUAGAGUAAAAGCCUACCAAGGCAACGAUCAGUAGCCGGCUUGAGAGAGUGUACGGCCACAUUGGGACUGAGACACGGCCCAGACUCCUACGGGAGGCAGCAGUGGGGAAUUUUGCACAAUGGGGGAAACCCUGAUGCAGCGACGCCGCGUGAUUUAGAAGGCCUUCGGGUUGUAAAAAUCUUUUGUAUGGGAAGAAAAUGACAGUACCAUACGAAUAAGGACCGGCUAAUUACGUG
This 477-nucleotide ribosomal RNA is filed under the name uncultured bacterium. Its description in RNAcentral is "partial 16S ribosomal RNA". It matches the Rfam family "Bacterial small subunit ribosomal RNA", at positions 28 to 507 of the family's 1533-position model. The record is from RNAcentral.